CCUACGGGAGGCAGCAGUGAGGAAUAUUGGUCAAUGGACGCAAGUCUGAACCAGCCAUGCCGCGUGCAGGAAGACGGCUCUAUGAGUUGUAAACUUCUUUUGUACGAGGGUAAAUCCCGAUACGUGUAUCUGGUUGAAAGUAUCGUACGAAUAAGGAUCGGCUAACUCCGUGCCAGCAGCCGCGGUAAUACGGAGGAUUCAAGCGUUAUCCGGAUUUAUUGGGUUUAAAGGGUGCGUAGGCGGUUCGAUAAGUUAGAGGUGAAAUCCCGGGGCUCAACUCCGGCACUGCCUCUGAUACUGUCGGGCUAGAGUUUAGUUGCGGUAGGCGGAAUGUAUGGUGUAGCGGUGAAAUGCAUAGAGAUCAUACAGAACACCGAUUGCGAAGGCAGCAUACCAAACGACGACUGACGUUGAGGCACGAAAGCGUGGGGAGCAAACAGGAUUAGAUACCCGAGUAGUC
Molecule: ribosomal RNA, 460 nt
Filed under: uncultured bacterium
Lineage: Bacteria
Description: partial 16S ribosomal RNA
Rfam family: Bacterial small subunit ribosomal RNA
Source: RNAcentral